CACUCUACCUACAUGAUGGGCCACUCCCAAUCAACCAAGCUAGGCCAGGCUUGCUGUAGAGAAGAAAUUAAGGAAUGACUUACUUAAUCUGGGAAAAAGCAAGGACCAAGAUAGAACUGCAAGACGGGAUGCUGAGAAGCCCAGCAGUAUGGUUAGUGAAUGAAGCAGAAAGGCAGGACUCAGAAGACUUCUCCUGCUAAACCAGAUACAAUGUCCUGCUACUCUGAGACCUCAAUGCUAUGAGAAACCUCAAGCCAGACGUGGGUCACAUGAAGGAACAUGUGGAUGUGAACCUUCUGUCACAGCCCAACCCAGCCAGCAGCUGAGAGUAGAGAAAUGAGCAACCUCUUUUGUUGCUAUAGGGAGAAGAAUCACCCAGCCAAACACUGCCCAAUUAUAAAAUUAUGAGAAG
Long non-coding RNA from Heterocephalus glaber (naked mole-rat), 412 nucleotides. The record is from Ensembl. NCBI's taxonomy places the organism in Eukaryota, Metazoa, Chordata, Mammalia, Rodentia, Bathyergidae.